This 103-nucleotide small nuclear RNA is filed under the name Triticum dicoccoides. The record is from RNAcentral. Lineage: Eukaryota; Viridiplantae; Streptophyta; Magnoliopsida; Poales; Poaceae.
CUCCCUUUGGGGACAUCCGAUAAAAUUGGAAUGAUACAGAGAAAAUUAGCAUGACCCCUGCGCAAGGAUGACACGCACAAAUUGAGAAAUGGUCCAAUUUUUU